UACGUAGGGGGCAAGCGUUGUCCGGAAUCAUUGGGCGUAAAGGGUGCGUAGGUGGCGCCGUAAGUCGGGUGUGAAAUUUCGGAGCUUAACUCCGAAACUGCAUUCGAUACUGCGGUGCUUGAGGACUGGAGAGGAGACUGGAAUUCAUGGUGUAGCAGUGAAAUGCGUAGAGAUCAUGAGGAAGACCAGUGGCGAAGGCGGGUCUCUGGACAGUUCCUGACACUGAGGCACGAAGGCCAGGGGAGCAAACGGG
RNAcentral lists this ribosomal RNA (253 nucleotides) under uncultured bacterium. RNAcentral's name for it is "partial 16S ribosomal RNA". It matches the Rfam family "Bacterial small subunit ribosomal RNA", at positions 524 to 776 of the family's 1533-position model. The record is from RNAcentral.